Molecule: ribosomal RNA, 366 nt
Filed under: Salmonella enterica subsp. enterica serovar Typhimurium
Lineage: Bacteria; Pseudomonadati; Pseudomonadota; Gammaproteobacteria; Enterobacterales; Enterobacteriaceae
Description: bacterial SSU rRNA
Rfam family: Bacterial small subunit ribosomal RNA
Source: RNAcentral
CUGCCUAGUAGUGGGGGAUAGCUCGGGGAAACUCGAAUUAAUACCGCAUACGACCUACGGGUGAAAGGGGGCGCAAGCUCUUGCUAUUAGAUGAGCCUAAAUCAGAUUAGCUAGUUGGUGGGGUAAAGGCCCACCAAGGCGACGAUCUGUAACUGGUCUGAGAGGAUGAUCAGUCACACCGGAACUGAGACACGGUCCGGACUCCUACGGGAGGCAGCAGUGGGGAAUAUUGGACAAUGGGGGCAACCCUGAUCCAGCCAUGCCGCGUGUGUGAAGAAGGCCUUUUGGUUGUAAAGCACUUUAAGCAGGGAGGAGAGGCUAAUGGUUAAUACCCAUUAGAUUAGACGUUACCUGCAGAAUAAGCAC